GACGAUUUCAUCCAGAAAAAACGAGACGUCAUAUGAUACUGGCAAAGAGGGAACACAAGCCUAUAAUUUCCGUUGGUUUUGACGUGAUUUUGUUUUACGCCUUUCUAAAUGUGUUAUUAUUGUGUAAAAAAAACUGAAUAAAAUAUGAUUAGAUAUAUUAAACUUAGUAUAAAAACUAAAAAUUACAGACAAACAAAAGGGUAAUGAAAAACUUGGCAAUUCCUUUUUGGGAUGGGGUUUGUGCGUUACUUAUGAAGGUAAUUUUGGCACUGGGUCGAUACAGAUAGUUUCUAAUAAAAGUAAAGUCAGAACAGCGCUUCGAACUCAUACAUUUUAUAACGUGCUAUUUUUGAUUUGUAUAGCUAUACAUACAUGUAUUAUUAUAACAUACCAUUAGUAAAUUACCCGUUGAUAAAAGAGAUAUUAUGAAACUUCAUGUUCCAAGGAAAGGUUACCGUCGUAAAAUUUGAAUUUUGGUAAGUUCCAUUUGAUCAUUUAGUUCGUCACGUAUUUUGAUACUUUUCCAUCCUUGGCUUUCAAAUAUUUGGGUUUUAGUGUUUGUGAUAAAGAAAAGCUCAUCGGACGCAUGAUAUUGAUUAAGUACUAUUUUCAUUUUGUUUCAGUUGUGUAAUGUCUUCCAUCAAUAAAGGUAAUUGUACAUUUAAUUUAUCUCAGUUUACCAAGCAAUGUAAAAGAAAAAUAGACUGUAACGAACAGUGUAUCCCAGUAAAGAUGUAUAUAUUGUUCAAUGAAUCCACUAUCAAUGAUGGUAACGGUGAAAUCUUUGUACACUUCGCGUGGUGUAUAGCAACGUGAAGAGCGCAUUUACAUUUACAAAUGCUAGGUUGUCGUGUCUUUGUACGUACAAAUAUAUCAGUAUUUAAAGAUUUUAAAAAUCAAAGAGUAACAAGUUCACCAGUUUAAUUGACAAAUCUUCUGUUUUAUAAAAUCAAUCAUGGACCUACAAGAGGAACAUAUCAAUCAUAAAUUCAUAUUAUUCAAAUAUAAAACCUACACAAGUCAAAAACACAUAUCAAUCAUAAUUUUACACACAAAAAUCUGGUACAUGCAACAUACAAGAUACUACUGUUUUUUUCUUCUUGAAAAUGUUGCUAAUGAUUACGACUGAUGUCAGAUGGGAUACAAAAUUGAGCCUAUGUUUAGGUCUAAAUAUUUGAUAUUUUACAGAAAAAAUAGGGGGGUUAUCAACAUUGCAACCCGUUUGUGUAAGAUCAAAUUUAAAAUUAAAACUAAAAUAAAAGCGUAUUCGUUAAUAAUAAAUGAAAAAAUUAAUAUAUAUCAAAGAAACAUAGGCUGAGACUAAGUUUAUAUCAUGGGUAUUCUGAGGACUUCCGUGUUGUCAACAGAUCAACAAACUGAAAUGUUGAAAUACAAAUAACAUGAUUAACAAAAGUUACAAUGAAAAUGCAUCAAACAGCAAAUCUAUAAAGGAUAACACUUGAAAUAAUUGUCGCUUAUUUUAAUAAAUGCAAAGAACCACACCCAUUAAAUUUAGUUGUAAACAAAAUGUUAUUUGCACUCACCGUCAAGAAUGUACAAAGUUGUUCUUAAGGGCAGACUACGAGUUGUGUAUUGGAAGGUGUAUUUGAAAGGUAGUACAUAUCAUUAAUUAUGUACAUAAUAUCAAUCUUCUUGUUUUGACUUCCGUUUAUUUUUAUUUUUUAAAUUUUACAGGUAUUUUCCUACGUCAAUAUAGUACUCUUAAUUGAUACUGAAUCCGGAUAUACAAGAAACUAGAGGUUUAUUCAUGAGCCAAUAUCUCCCAGCUGGCCCACUUUCACAAAAUUUCAGACGAUUUACGACCAAAACAGUUUGAAUAGUUUGUUCAGAUGAUGAUAAUGAUGAUGAUGAGUUACAUUGUGUUUAACGUCCAGGGGCUAAUAUUACACGCAUUUCAGGACAACAACAUCAAUAAGAUGUGCAUAUUCAAGUUGUUUUAAAAAAAUAUUUGACAGACACGUUUAGCCAGGAUUUUAACAUAUUAUUUUGAUUGACCCAGCCUGGGAUCGAACAAUAACCUUCCGAGAAAACCACGGACGACCCAUUUGAAUAUAGUUUUUUUUAAUAUUUAAGACCGAUUAAAAAUAAACAUGUAACACUCAGAAACGUGUCCAUCCAACCAAACGUGCCCGUAUGUCAACUCUGGAUUCCCAAACAUGUCUAGUUGGUAAUGGACGUCAGAACGUGUCCUUUUUAUGAACGCCUAAUCGUGUCCAUAUUUUAAAAACUCACAAACGUGUCCACCGUUACCAAAUAGUUGUUUUAAUCACAUAUGUUGUUUAAAACAAUUUCAGUCGACAAUAUACAAGUUCCUCAGACUGUCUUAAAAUAAUGAAAUAGAAAAAUCUAGAUUCUUAUAAAUGUUUUCUUGAUUAUAUUUUUUCAAGAAGAUGUUGUGUUGUUGUAAAACUAGUGGAGGUUAGUAGAAUAGUAUCGCUUAAAGGCGAUGAUUGCAAAAUUUUAAUCAAAAUGGUCAAAUGAUGUUAAAGAAAAAUUGUAUAUGCCCUACUUGAAAAUUGCGCAGAUAGAGC
Molecule: long non-coding RNA, 2552 nt
Filed under: Mytilus galloprovincialis (Mediterranean mussel)
Lineage: Eukaryota; Metazoa; Mollusca; Bivalvia; Mytilida; Mytilidae
Source: RNAcentral